AUUGAACGCUGGCGGCAGGCCUAACACAUGCAAGUCGAGCGGUAGAGAGAAGCUUGCUUCUCUUGAGAGCGGCGGACGGGUGAGUAAUGCCUAGGAAUCUGCCUGGUAGUGGGGGAUAACGUUCGGAAACGGACGCUAAUACCGCAUACGUCCUACGGGAGAAAGCAGGGGACCUUCGGGCCUUGCGCUAUCAGAUGAGCCUAGGUCGGAUUAGCUAGUUGGUGAGGUAAUGGCUCACCAAGGCGACGAUCCGUAACUGGUCUGAGAGGAUGAUCAGUCACACUGGAACUGAGACACGGUUCAGACUCCUACGGGAGGCAGCAGUGGGGAAUAUUGGACAAUGGGCGAAAGCCUGAUCCAGCCAUGCCGCGUGUGUGAAGAAGGUCUUCGGAUUGUAAAGCACUUUAAGUUGGGAGGAAGGGCAUUAACCUAAUACGUUAGUGUUUUGACGUUACCGACAGAAUAAGCACCGGCUAACUCUGUGC
This 485-nucleotide ribosomal RNA is filed under the name uncultured bacterium. Its description in RNAcentral is "bacterial SSU rRNA". It matches the Rfam family "Bacterial small subunit ribosomal RNA", at positions 30 to 508 of the family's 1533-position model. The record is from RNAcentral.